UACGUAGGGUGCGAGCGUUGUCCGGAAUUAUUGGGCGUAAAGAGCUCGUAGGCGGUUUGUUGCGUCGGCCGUGAAAACCUGCAGCUUAACUGUGGGCCUGCGGCCGAUACGGGCAGACUUGAGUUCGGUAGGGGAGACUGGAAUUCCUGGUGUAGCGGUGAAAUGCGUAGAUAUCAAGAGGAACACCUGAGGUGAAGACGGGUUGCUGGGCUGACACUGACGCUGAGGCGCGAAAGCCAGGGGAGCAAACGGG
RNAcentral lists this ribosomal RNA (253 nucleotides) under uncultured bacterium. RNAcentral's name for it is "partial 16S ribosomal RNA". It matches the Rfam family "Bacterial small subunit ribosomal RNA", at positions 524 to 776 of the family's 1533-position model. The record is from RNAcentral.